GAAAUAUAAAGAAAUAAUAUUAAGCUGCUAACUUAAUUUAUAGUGGUUAAAAUCCAUUAAUAUUUCU
RNAcentral lists this transfer RNA (67 nucleotides) under Bombyx huttoni. RNAcentral's name for it is "tRNA-Ser". The record is from RNAcentral. Lineage: Eukaryota; Metazoa; Arthropoda; Insecta; Lepidoptera; Bombycidae.